UGUUGCAAAAAAAGGUAAAUU
This 21-nucleotide non-coding RNA is filed under the name Caenorhabditis elegans. Lineage: Eukaryota; Metazoa; Nematoda; Chromadorea; Rhabditida; Rhabditidae. The record is from RNAcentral.